UACGUAGGGUGCAAGCGUUAAUCGGAAUUACUGGGCGUAAAGCGUGCGCAGGCGGUUAUGCAAGACAGAUGUGAAAUCCCCGGGCUUAACCUGGGAACUGCAUUUGUGACUGCAUAGCUCGAGUACGGCAGAGGGGGAUGGAAUUCCGCGUGUAGCAGUGAAAUGCGUAGAUAUGCGGAGGAACACCGAUGGCGAAGGCAAUCCCCUGGGCCUGUACUGACGCUCAUGCACGAAAGCGUGGGGAGCAAACAGG
This 253-nucleotide ribosomal RNA is filed under the name uncultured bacterium. RNAcentral's name for it is "partial 16S ribosomal RNA". It matches the Rfam family "Bacterial small subunit ribosomal RNA", at positions 524 to 776 of the family's 1533-position model. The record is from RNAcentral.